UUCGAUUAGAGUUUGAUCAUGGCUCAGAUUGAACGCUGGCGGCAUGCUUUACACAUGCAAGUCGAACGGUAACAGGUCUUCGGAUGCUGACGAGUGGCGAACGGGUGAGUAAUGCAUCGGAAUGUGCCCAGUCGUGGGGGAUAACGCAGCGAAAGCUGCGCUAAUACCGCAUACGAUCUAUGGAUGAAAGCGGGGGACCGUAAGGCCUCGCGCGAUUGGAGCGGCCGAUGUCAGAUUAGGUAGUUGGUGGGGUAAAGGCUCACCAAGCCAACGAUCUGUAGCUGGUCUGAGAGGACGACCAGCCACACUGGAACUGAGACACGGUCCAGACUCCUACGGGAGGCAGCAGUGGGGAAUUUUGGACAAUGGGCGCAAGCCUGAUCCAGCAAUGCCGCGUGCAGGAAGAAGGCCUUCGGGUUGUAAACUGCUUUUGUACGGAACGAAACGGUCUGGGAUAAUACCCUGGGCUAAUGACGGUACCGUAAGAAUAAGCACCGGCUAACUACGUGCCAGCAGCCGCGGUAAUACGUAGGGUGCAAGCGUUAAUCGGAAUUACUGGGCGUAAAGCGUGCGCAGGCGGUUUUGUAAGACAGGCGUGAAAUCCCCGGGCUCAACCUGGGAAUGGCGUUUGUGACUGCAAAGCUGGAGUGCGGCAGAGGGGGAUGGAAUUCCGCGUGUAGCAGUGAAAUGCGUAGAUAUGCGGAGGAACACCGAUGGCGAAGGCAAUCCCCUGGGCCUGCACUGACGCUCAUGCACGAAAGCGUGGGGAGCAAACAGGAUUAGAUACCCUGGUAGUCCACGCCCUAAACGAUGUCAACUGGUUGUUGGGUCUCUUCUGACUCAGUAACGAAGCUAACGCGUGAAGUUGACGCCUGGGAGUACGGCGCAAGGUGAAACUCAAUGAAUGACG
RNAcentral lists this ribosomal RNA (910 nucleotides) under uncultured bacterium. Its description in RNAcentral is "bacterial SSU rRNA". It matches the Rfam family "Bacterial small subunit ribosomal RNA", at positions 1 to 915 of the family's 1533-position model. The record is from RNAcentral.